UGGGGAAUAUUGGACAAUGGGCGCAAGCCUGAUCCAGCCAUGCCGCGUGAGUGAUGAAGGCCUUAGGGUCGUAAAGCUCUUUUGUCCGGGAAGAUAAUGACUGUACCGGAAGAAUAAGCCCCGGCUAACUUCGUGCCAGCAGCCGCGGUAAUACGAAGGGGGCUAGCGUUGCUCGGAAUCACUGGGCGUAAAGCGCACGUAGGCGGACUCUUAAGUCGGUGGUGAAAUCCUGGAGCUCAACUCCAGAACUGCCUUCGAUACUGGGAGUCUUGAGUUCUAGAGAGGUGAGUGGAACUGCGAGUGUAGAGGUGAAAUUCGUAGAUAUAUGGAAGAACACCUGUGGCGAAAGCGGUUUUCUAGCCUCCUCCCGACGCUGAGGCACGAAAGCAAGGGGAGCAAACA
This 402-nucleotide ribosomal RNA is filed under the name uncultured prokaryote. RNAcentral's name for it is "bacterial SSU rRNA". It matches the Rfam family "Bacterial small subunit ribosomal RNA", at positions 355 to 774 of the family's 1533-position model. The record is from RNAcentral.